CACCCCAGUCCAGCUCUUUCUAGAAGUCUUUCAAAGGCAGCAAAUUGGUUAAGGAUGCAUUCCACUCAAAUUCAAUGAUGGCUAUUUUAAUUCCAAUUAAAAUGACUGCAUGUAAUUUCUACAUCACUAGUGACAUUAAAAGGAAAUGCAGAAAUGAUGGUUUCCAUUCAUGGAAAGUUUCCUCCCAUCUGCCACUGUUCAAAAAACAGUAACAGUCCCACCUUAAACUCAUGACAUUGACUGAGCCAAUGUUGUUACUCAAAAAGACUUUUGAAAGCACACAAAGACACAGGGUAUUUACAGUUUAAGGAAAUCAACCUACGGACAGCUUACUUCUAGUUGUCUCUGAAAGCUAGUAUAAGAAAAGGUAUUUUAACACCAAACUAUAAAAAAAGAAGCAUACAAUCACACACUAUGACUGAGCAGCAGGUAAUGGAAAUUGUACAUAAAAUCCCAUAUUUUAACUGUACAUAAAUGUGUCACUGCAGCCGAAACCAUACGGUUUUAGUGCGAUUUUUACCAACCAACCAUAGUAAUGCGCCAGGGAGGCUGAACUUGUGUUGUAAGUUUUCAGUGAAGAGUAGAAAAUCGUUAGCAUAAAUAAUUUGCUAUGUUAAGGGUUGUUGGUGAUGUAGAUGGAGGGAUGCUGGUAACGCAUAGCCCCACACCACCCAAACGCUCCAGAUGGGGACAAAGUAUAUGCAGAUUGGCUCAUUAACCUCACUGUGCUGAUCUCUCCACGGUAAUGACACACGCAGCAUGCUGGGGCUUCAAUAAUCCAUCUCAACAUCCUCUCCACUCAAAAGAUUACAGUGUGGAUGCCACAUAACCCAGCCCUGGAAAUAGCGAAGCCUCUAGAUGGAGUCUACAUAUGUGAGCGCACAUGCUCAAGCGCACCCAGAAAAAGCAUUAGAACAAAAACCAAGAAGGCGUUUUAGCAGCUGGUGUCAUAUUCCCCCUGAGGUGUUCCUGUUCAUUUUAGUUCCUUAGACAGAAUGGAUGAACAUCUCUUUGAAGUGCAGCCCAUUCUGGAAUAUUUUCCCCAAAACACCACAACCACAUAUUGAGGUGUCUCUGCGGGUGGCAGUAGGUGGAGAUAAACCCGGGAGACAGACAAAGAAGCUUUCCGUGACCUCAAUUUAUCUCACUGCAGACCGGAACGGCAACAAACAGAUUUCAUAUAUUGGAAGAAGACACAUCUGGAUCCUGUCAACAACACCAGAUGGAUUUGAAGGAUCAACUUGAUUCAGUUUUUCAGCACAUAAUCUCCUUUUUCUUUUAAACAGUGACUCGUCUGCACAAAACACAUCACUGCUGUAGUUAAGAAGUAACAU
RNAcentral lists this long non-coding RNA (1334 nucleotides) under Carassius auratus (goldfish). RNAcentral's name for it is "lncRNA (ENSCARG00000046591.1)". The record is from RNAcentral. Lineage: Eukaryota; Metazoa; Chordata; Actinopteri; Cypriniformes; Cyprinidae.